Molecule: small nuclear RNA, 187 nt
Organism: Dermacentor albipictus
Lineage: Eukaryota; Metazoa; Arthropoda; Arachnida; Ixodida; Ixodidae
Product: U2 spliceosomal RNA
Source: RefSeq, a predicted model, not a curated record
AUGGCCAACGAGACUCAGUGCUCUACUUGUAUCUGUUUUUAUCAGCUUAGUAUCUGGUACGGGUUGUAUUUGGACCUAAGAUAUUAGAGGUAUUUUUUUUUUAAUUUGGCGGAGUUCUUGAAGCCUGCUUCACCUCCAUGGUGGGACGGCUUUGUAUUGCACCAUCUCCGGAAUCGGCCCACGGUUC